GAAUAUUGGUCAAUGGAGGCAACUCUGAACCAGCCAUGCCGCGUGCAGGAAGACGGCCCUACGGGUUGUAAACUGCUUUUGUACCGGAAUAAACCCCCGAACGAGUUCGGGGCUGAAUGUACGGUAAGAAUAAGGAUCGGCUAACUCCGUGCCAGCAGCCGCGGUAAUACGGAGGAUCCAAGCGUUAUCCGGAUUUAUUGGGUUUAAAGGGUGCGUAGGCGGCUUGUUAAGUCAGGGGUGAAAGACGAUGGCUCAACCAUCGCAGUGCCUUUGAUACUGACGAGCUUGAAUGUACUUGAGGUAGGCGGAAUGUGACAAGUAGCGGUGAAAUGCAUAGAUAUGUCACAGAACACCGAUUGCGAAGGCAGCUUACUAAAGUAUGAUUGACGCUGAGGCACGAAAGCGUGGGGAUCAAA
This 416-nucleotide ribosomal RNA is filed under the name uncultured bacterium. Its description in RNAcentral is "bacterial SSU rRNA". It matches the Rfam family "Bacterial small subunit ribosomal RNA", at positions 359 to 772 of the family's 1533-position model. The record is from RNAcentral.